RNA transcript from Populus nigra (black poplar), 2669 nucleotides. It is a transcript of the gene named translation initiation factor IF3-4, chloroplastic-like, with no coding region annotated. The record is from RefSeq and is a predicted model, not a curated record. The transcript is spliced from 7 exons. NCBI's taxonomy places the organism in Eukaryota, Viridiplantae, Streptophyta, Magnoliopsida, Malpighiales, Salicaceae.
UAAAAAUAAAAAUAAAAAUAAAAACUCAGUCCGGAUAAGGAAAGAAUAUCUCUCUCCGAAAUUUGUAAAAAAGAAAAGAAGAAAAAAAAACGAAAAUAGAAGCCAUGGCUGGUAUCACCAGCACUAGCGGCAGCAGCUGCUUCCCACUACUAACCCGUAUCACCGCCACCAAGACGACACCGUAUUUCCUGUCUCUGUCUGCUAUUCGGGCUCCGAUCCCACACUUCUCCCAGCCUCGUCAUCACCUCCCAUUACGGUGUCCACGGUCCUACGGUGACUCGCGGCGGCCGCAGAAGAGUGCUUCUGAUGAAGACCAGGCUCUUGAUAAAUCUAGAAUCAGUUCAGCUACUGUGAGGCUCAUUGAUCAGCAACAGAAUAUGCAAAUUUAGAUAUGAACCGCAAAAGAAAAAGAGAGAACAGCAGAAGAAAAGUGCUGUUACAACAUUGACCAACAUGAUUAUGAUGUGCGUUUAAGAGCUGCUCGGAAUUUUUUGAAAGAUGGUGACAAGGUUAAAGUCAUAGUGAACUUGAAUUGGCGUGAAAAUGAGUUCAGAAAUAUUGCAAUUGAGCUCAUCAGACGUUUCCAAAAUUUUGUUGGAGAGUUACUAAUGAAGUAUUUGAUGUGCUUAUGCCAAAAAAAAAUAACAAUAAUAAUACACGAUACAAGAAGAUUGAUGUGCAAAAUAUUGUGAAACUCCUAACGUCUCAAUAACUGCUUUGAGUGUGAUUGGAUACUUUGUUGUGUUUCAUUCUAUUUAAGUGUUUAAGUUCUGGCAAAGGGUUAAUAAAAUGAAAAAAAACAAAAGAACAGAAAAAUAGCCUGUUUUUUAUGGGAGAUUUUCUAAACCAGGCUGGACUAGAUCUACAUGUCUUAGGCUGACCAAAUUUGAGAGAACAGUGCAAAAUUGCUUAUAAUAAUAGCAGUGAAUAUUAGCUUUUAUACUUUCAAACGGACUCACUGAAGGCCAUUCAGCAACAAUUAACAAUCGUGCUAUUUUUUACCAGUAUUUUCCCUGCAUGUCAUGUGUCUGUUCUCAGUUUUCAUAAUCUUAGAAAUGUUGAUUAUUUCUUCAUUGAAUUUUGCAUUAUAACUUUCAUUUUAUGCUCUGAUUUGCAGCUUGCUACUGAGGAGAGCAAAAACUUCCAUGAUCGGAACAUGUUCAUUAGUCUGGUACCAAAUAAGGCUAUUCUACAGAAAGCUCUGGAACCGCCCAAGAAAAAGGACAAGUCAGCUGCAAAUGAAGUAUCAGCUGGUAUGAGUGCAUGCAAGUUUACAAGGGGUUUUAAUUAUGGAAUACUUGGCAGGUGCUCCCGAUCACAUUUUGUAGGUCACAUACCUAGGCAAGUAGUGUGUUGCUCAAAGGAGACUGGAUAACAAAAAGCUGUAGAAUGUAAUGUAUUUUUGAGAAAGUACAGUCGCGAGACUUCCUCCCAUGAUUGCUGGAUAGGGUGUCAAAAAGUGAAGUCAUGAGAACUUCCUCCCGCAGUUGCUGGAUAUGGUUUUUAAUGGGAGGAUUGUUUGUAGAUGGUGACUUCAUAGACACAUGCAGUCAACUGCUCAAGGUAGUAAUUUGGAGAGACAAUUUUGUUGGGAUUGGAAGCUUUAAUCCCUUGGUAAAAUAAAUUAAAAAACCCGGGAAGAUUAUAUCUUAAAUUUGAAGAGCUUACAGGUUAAAGGAAUGGAAAGAGGGUGACUGGCGGACAAACUUGCUUUCAAGUAAUUGGUACUUCCAAGAUGCUUUUGCCAUUCCAGAGGUUCGAUUAUUCGCAACUGAAGUAGUUACUUGAUUCCAUGCGGUUUGUCUUGGCAUUUGAAGUAGUGGAUGAGGAGUGAGAUAUUAUAGUUGGUUGAAUAAGUGGUCGAUGGAACAGUGUUUGUGAUCUUCAAAAGUUCAUGGGUUUGAGCAGAACAAGGCGAGGAAUGCUUGUGGCAAUUUUGGGCAUUUGGCAGAUAUUGAUGAGGACUGCUCAAGGACAAGGCCAGUAAUUCACUACAAGUGAGCAGAAAGCUGAGGUUAGAGAGUUUCUUUGUUCAAGCUUCUUGCCAACAAGAACAGGGCAUGGCAGCAAAGGUGCGUUGAAGUUGCGAAGAACAAGGGUCGCGAAGAACAAGGGUCCCAUAAAAUGACGAGCUCAGUAAGCAGGCUUAACCAAGCCGGGGUUUGUUUAGUUUUAUGAUCAGUGGAAGUGUUGAGCUUACCCAGACAGGGCAGCCCUUUGUACCCUUCCUUACCAGGAGGAAAAGCUUCUUUUUUGAGUAAAGCUUCAAGUUGGAUACAAGAUGUUGUAGCCGUGUCUUGAUAAGAAUACAAGGUAGGAGAGGCUACACUGUCCAGAUGGAGAAGCUCCAACAUGCCCAACUAACGAUUGGAACAUGACUUGAGUUUAAAGUUCUUGCAUUCUAAGCAUGCUCAUUCACGUGUUUUUCAGCUUGCAUUAACAGUUGACGGGCAGCGGAAGUUUUGAAAGGGAAGGAUUUGAACUGUACCAAGUAUCACCGGUUGGCAGAUAGUAGGGCCUCAGCUAAUGUAUGUAUGUAUGUAUGUAUGCAUGUAUGCAUGUAUGUAUAUGGGAUUCUUAACUAGUAAUUCACUCAUAACAAGAAACUGAAAAGUGAAAUAUCUUGCGCUCCAUGGAAAUCAAAUUCCUAUUUAUGAUUUAACAAAGAA